AAUAGAUACCCAGGUAGUCCUAGCCGUAAACGAUACUCGCUAGGUGUCGGCCACGGUGCGACCGUUGUCGGUGCCGUAGGGAAGCCGUGAAGCGAGCCACCUGGGAAGUGCGGCCGCAAGGCUGAAACUUAAAGGAAUUGGCGGGGGAGCACCACAACGGGUGGAGCUUGCGGUUUAAUUGGAUUCAACGCCGGAAAUCUUACCGGGACCGACAGCAAUAUGAAGGCCAGGCUGAAGACUUUGCCGGAUUAGCUGAGAGGUGGUGCAUGGCCGUCGUCAGUUCGUACUGUGAAGCAUCCUGUUAAGUCAGGCAACGAGCGAGACCCACGCCCACAGUUGCCAGCGUACUCUCCGGAGUGACGGGUACACUGUGGGGACCGCCGCUGCUAAAGCGGAGGAAGGAAUGGGCAACGGUAGGUCAGUAUGCCCCGAAUAUCCCGGGCUACACGCGAGCUACAAUGGUUGGUACAAUGGGUAUCUACCCCGAAAGGGGAUGGAAAUCUCCUAAAGCCAAUCUUAGUUCGGAUUGAGGGCUGCAACUCG
RNAcentral lists this ribosomal RNA (543 nucleotides) under uncultured bacterium. RNAcentral describes it as "bacterial SSU rRNA". It matches the Rfam family "Archaeal small subunit ribosomal RNA", at positions 728 to 1270 of the family's 1478-position model. The record is from RNAcentral.